Molecule: long non-coding RNA, 2575 nt
Filed under: Ananas comosus (pineapple)
Lineage: Eukaryota; Viridiplantae; Streptophyta; Magnoliopsida; Poales; Bromeliaceae
Description: long non-coding RNA (ACOM_LNC024076)
Source: RNAcentral
UCCAAUUUUAGCAAUCCGACGAUGAAUCAUGCCGAGGAUAAGAUUAAUUGGAGAUAAUGGUAAAGAAUGGAGAAAGAAUGAGGUAGCCGGAGGAAGAAGAAGACUGUAAGAGGGACUAGAGAAGAAUGGGGGAAGAAGAAGAGAGGAGUUGGAGGAAUCAAUAAUUACUUGACAAAUAUGCAAAAUGCUAAUUUUUGGGAAUUAAAAUGCCAAAAAAGAAAUAUUAUAGAGGACUGUUUGUGGGUCGCUAUCUCUGCAGGUUGGGCUAUUCAGUGGAUCCAGGCCCGAACACUUGCCUCCAAUGGAAGAACCAAGAUGUUCAAACUAGUGGCUCAGAUUCUCCAACAAAUUGAUCCUUUAUACCUCCUAGUUCACUCGGUCACCUUGUGACUCGUCAGUCUAAAUCUUUUUCUGUUCCUCGUCAACCCUAAUAUCCUUCUCCAUCGCCUCUCUACUGCUACUAGCAUUGUUGCACAAAUCUCUCUAUGAACUAUCUGGUCAUGUUAAUUCAUUCUCGGGUUUGUGAUGCAUUAACAAUGUGCUUCUACCUUUGCUUCGCCUUAAUAUUGAUAUCUGUUAGUUAAUCUGACCCAAUUUUGAUAUAUAAAAUAAAAUGGAUAACUACCCUGAUAUGUUUCCUUACAAUAAAAAUUUCGCAUUAAAUGCUUCUAAUUUGCUUUCCUCCAAUAACUCAAUACUAUUUGUAACAAAAAAACAUUCAUAUAUAUUUGUUUUCUUUUUUUAUAACAAAGAAAGAAAUAAAAAUAUUCAUCUUACAUGUGUGUAUAUAUAAUAAAUGCACUUAUGAAGCAUACAUAUAGUGUUCAAAAUACGAAAACAUUCAUUUUAUAUGUUCAAUUCACACUUUUUUUUUGAGAGAGAGAAAGGUAGCAUGCUAUCCUCUUUACCCAUUUUAUUUAGAAAUUAAUUUAAUUGGAAAUGUGAUUCAAAUAUGCGACCUAUUUAAUUCACACAAACAAUAUUUAUUUUAGCUAAUGUCUUAAUUACUUUUCUAUGGAAAAAGUGUAAAAAGUUUGUUGUGUUGUUGGUGCUAAUCAUUAAUUUUCUUCGCCUUUUUCAUACUCUUAUAUCUUUUAGAUGUGCCGGAAUAUUAAAACCAAAAAUUUUAACUAGCUUAAUCAGAAGUGGUGACAACAUUAAAGAUCCUAAUUAAUCAAAGAUCUUUAUUGCUUUAAGAAACAUAAUUCUUGCCUCGUGACGGGAGGUCAAGUUGGACUGAGUCACGUUUGAAAUGACGGGAGACUGAGUUGAAUCGAGUCUUAUACGAAUAGCAAGAGGCUAGGUUGUACCAGUCUUGAGCUGUUAGAGAAUGCAGUUAAUUCACUUAAAGUAUACAGACUACUGUUCAUAAGUCUUGAUUGUGAGACCUACCGUAACUUGUUCGAGACACUACAGUAAGAUAUGUGUUUAAGUUUUGUAGGUGAAACAUGUUGUAGGGGGGAAGAUAUAAUACACUGGAUCUUUGUAAAUAGGCAAAUUUGCAGUAUUGGGGUAUUUGGCCUUGCUUUUAAAAAGCACUUUUUGGCUGAAAAGCGAUUUUCGGCUCAAUAGAGCAUCUGGCAACUUAUUUUUAAAAUCUGAUUCUGCUUUUUAGAAUCAGAAAACUGAUUUUGAAGGCCUUAGAAUCAGAAGCAGAAAAAAGCUGCUUCUUGAAAUCUGAUUCUAAUUUUGGAUUUAAACUUCAAAUUUUUAUUUUAAUUUUAAUUUCAAUAUUUAAAUUUAAAUUUAAUUUUAAAUUUUAAUUUUCAGAUUCAUUUUAAACUUUUUAAAAUUUAAAAGCUACGCCUGCCGAGCAAGAUGGAGGAAGGCCGUGGAACUGAAACCACCUCUCUUGCCCUUACUUCUCUUUCAACGUCUAUUAGAGUACCAUACCUCUUCAGUCUUAUAUCUAUUAAAUUACAUAUAGUGAUCACAGAAAAGUUCGACCUGUUUGUUGUUAGGAAUAUCUCGAGUCCCGAUAAGGGAUGGAAUAAUUUUAACUUUUAAAUUUUAAAAUUUGAAAAUAGAUUUCAAACUUCAAAUUUUAAAUUUUAAUUUUAAAUUUUAAUUUUAAAUUUCAAAUCUAAAAUUUUAGAUUUUAAAAUUUAAAAUUUCAAAUUUCAAUGACAAUUUAGAUUUUAAAAUUGAAAUGUAAAAAUUUAAAAUUUUUAAAUUAUAAAUUAUAAAUUAUAAUUUUCAAAUGAUAAAUUUCAAAUUUUUAAAAUUUAAAAUUUAAAAUUUUAAUUAUUAAAAUUUUUAAUUUUUAAUUUUAAAUAUUCAAAUUUUUAAUUUUAAAUAAUCAAAUUUUUAAUUUUAAAUUUUAAAUAUUCAAAUUUUAAAUUUUGAAUUUUAAAUUUCAUAAUUAUUUUAAAUUUUAAUUUUUAAAUUUAAAGUUUAAAUAUAUUUUUAAAUAUUAAUAUUUAAUAUAUUAUAUUUUAUAAUUAUUUAUAUUUUUAAAUUUAAAUUUUAAAUUUUAAAUUUUAAAUUCUAAAUUUAAAUUUUGAAAUUUUAAUUUUAAUUUAUAUUUUUAUAUAUUAAAAUUUUAUAUUUUAAAAUUCAUAAUUAUAUAUAUUUU